CCUACGGGAGGCAGCAGUGAGGAAUAUUGGUCAAUGGGCGGGAGCCUGAACCAGCCAAGCCGCGUGAGGGAAGAAGGCACAGCGUAUCGUAAACUUCUUUUGUCAGGGAACAAAGGCAGGGACUAGUCCCCGGAUGAAGGUACCUGAAGAAUAAGCAUCGGCUAACUCCGUGCCAGCAGCCGCGGUAAUACGGAGGAUCAGAGCGUUAUCCGGAUUUAUUGGGGUUAAAGGGUGGGCAGAUGGGUUGGUAAGUCAGGCGUGAAAGUUUGGGGCUCAACCCCGGGAGUGCAGUUGAAACUGGCGGGCUGGAGUUGGGGAGAGGUAGGCGGAAUGCGCGGUGUAGCGGUGAAAUGCUUAGAUAUCACGCAGAACCCCGAUUGCGAAGGCAGCGUACCGG
Molecule: ribosomal RNA, 397 nt
Filed under: uncultured bacterium
Lineage: Bacteria
Description: partial 16S ribosomal RNA
Rfam family: Bacterial small subunit ribosomal RNA
Source: RNAcentral